This is a long non-coding RNA of Passer domesticus (house sparrow), 381 nucleotides long. RefSeq lists it as uncharacterized. The record is from RefSeq and is a predicted model, not a curated record. Lineage: Eukaryota; Metazoa; Chordata; Aves; Passeriformes; Passeridae. The transcript has 2 exons.
GGGUGAUCCAGUCUAAUACCUGCUGCUGGAACUAGGAGGUCUGGCCACCCCAUCACCACUACCACACUGCUGCUGCUGCUGCCUUUAACAUCUAAGAUCUGUUCUCAGAGCCAGCCCAACACAGACUAACCCUGAGGCAGGGACACCUUUAAUUGGACCAGGCUGCUCCAAGCCCCACCAACCCUGUUUUUCUGCUGGAUUUGUGAGCUGAAGUGACACAUAUGGAGACCCACCACAUGCUAAAGCUGCUGGAAGGGCAAGAGGUGACAAAACAGCAAGAUCUGGUGCUGUGAGUUUGAAACAACUCUGCCAAUUCCUGAUUCUAUUAAGGAUUCUCCCAUUACUGAAGCAGUACAAAUAAAAGUAUGGAAAACCAUCUGA